RNAcentral lists this ribosomal RNA (497 nucleotides) under uncultured bacterium. RNAcentral describes it as "partial 16S ribosomal RNA". It matches the Rfam family "Bacterial small subunit ribosomal RNA", at positions 28 to 507 of the family's 1533-position model. The record is from RNAcentral.
GACGAACGCUGGCGGCGUGCCUAAUACAUGCAAGUCGAGCGAAAAGACGAGGAGUUUGCUCCGCUGACGUUAGCGGCGGACGGGAGAGUAACACGUGGAUAACCUACCUAUAAGACUGGGAUAACUACGGGAAACCGGAGCUAAUACCGGAUGAUAUAUUGAACCGCAUGGGUCAAUAGUGAGAGUCGGUGUUGGGGUAAGUAAUAGCUGGAUCCGCGCUGCAUUAGCUAGUUGGUAAGGUAAAGGCUUACCAAGGCAAGGAUGCGUAGCCGACCUCAGAGGGUGGUCGGCCACCCUGGAACGUAGACACCGUCCAGACUCCUACGGUAGGCAGCAGUAGGGAAUCUUCCGCAAUGGUCGAAAGCCUGACGGAGCAACGCCGCGUGAGUGAUGAAGGUCCUCGGAUCGGAAAGCUCUGUUAUGAGUGAAGAACAAAUGUGUAAUUAACCGUGCACAUCUUGACGGUACCGAAUCAGAAAGCCCCGGCUAACUACGUG